GAUUUGAUCAAAACUGGACCAAACUGGAACUGCUGGUUCUGGCUGGCUCUAUAUAGAGGCUUUAUAGUUUAUGCCUAUGAAUAAAUUUAUUACUGAAGCAAGCGAUUGUACUUAGACUUUAGACUGCUUUGCUUUACACUCUGUAGUUUUAAGGGUUAGAGGUAGAUGCUCAAUAGACCUGCCUUAAAAGAAUUGACAGUCUCAGCCAGACCAUGACUAUCAUGCUUAAUUUCUCUUGAUAAAAAGAUAGAUCUUUUUUGACUAUUAAUAGGAAAGCUCAUGCUUCUUGAUCUCCUCUUAGUUGCUGGUGUUCUUUUGUUCAGAGAUGUUCUUCUUGCUAAUCAACAGUUUUGGAAAUGUUAUGAACUUGUUUUGGAAGUUAGCUCUGCUUUGAUGAUGGAUUGAUCUCGAUUCUCAACAUUAACCUAAGCAUGCUCUGGAUGCACACUAGUUGUGAAACUAAGGGCUUGUUCACUUGUGGAAAAUUGGAGUAGUUUUCUAAGAAAACAAGAAAAUUUUGUGUUCACAUGUACUAGUUUUCCAAAUGAAGAACUAAAAAACUAGUUUUCU
RNAcentral lists this unclassified non-coding RNA (570 nucleotides) under Hevea brasiliensis (rubber tree). The record is from RNAcentral. Lineage: Eukaryota; Viridiplantae; Streptophyta; Magnoliopsida; Malpighiales; Euphorbiaceae.